CGCAUACACUCUCUCUCGCAUAUCUCUGGUUGCCUUGUCUGCCUCUCUGCUCUCUCUAAGUGUAGAAGAAUACACAGACAGAAAGAAAAACUUGGUAGCCACUUUCCCUCGUGAUUUUGGCCGAUUUAGAGUUGGAUUUCGAAGAUGAUGAAGUUGAAGAAAGGAUAGAUUAAGGCAUAAUUUUAGCACUUGGAGGAGUCAUUUGGAGUCAUUUAGAGCUUGAGUAGGAUUUGCGUAGCGAAGUGAACUACGAAGUUGAAGAUCAAGGUAAAAUAAUUCAUCUUAGUAGCAAACAAGGAGGAGAUGACGUGAUUGAAGAAAUUGUGUUUCCAUCUUCGCUGUCCCUUUUGAGGUUGACUCCGUUCGAACUAUUUGGACUCUUAAUUGCAUUCGCAAGCACAUCCAUAUUGGAGCUAAGGUAUAAAAUGACACCGUAAUUUUGUUAAUAUUUUUUAUAUUGAUGUACUGUAUCCAGAGAUAUGCAUCGUCUAAGGGCAAGAGUUCUGCAUCGUCUAAGGGCAAGACUACUGCAUCCUCGAAGGGCAAGAUUUCUGCAUCGUCCAAGGGUAAGAGUUCUGCAUCCUCGAAGGGCAAGAGUUCUGCAUCGACGGAGGAUGACGAUGAUGCCUUCAUGUAGUUUUUAAGCUGUAUUCCAGUUCUACCGUUUAAUUCAGAUGUACUUGCAUUAUUAGUUUGUACUCUCUUAUUGUAGGGCAUUAUGUUCUAUCUUAAUUUCAUUCUGUAGUUGUUGCACGAUGUUCGAUAUUAGUGGAGGGCAUGAAAAUGCCACUACUUUAUUCUAAAA
Molecule: long non-coding RNA, 805 nt
Organism: Aegilops tauschii subsp. strangulata
Lineage: Eukaryota; Viridiplantae; Streptophyta; Magnoliopsida; Poales; Poaceae
Source: RefSeq, a predicted model, not a curated record